CUGCUGGACCGUAACUGACGUUGAUGCUCGAAAGUGUGGGUAUCAAACAGGAUUAGAUACCCUGGUAGUCCACACGGUAAACGAUGGAUACUCGCUGUUGGCGAUACACAGUCAGCGGCCAAGCGAAAGCAUUAAGUAUCCCACCUGGGGAGUACGCCGGCAACGGUGAAACUCAAAGGAAUUGACGGGGGCCCGCACAAGCGGAGGAACAUGUGG
Molecule: ribosomal RNA, 216 nt
Filed under: Bacteroides caecigallinarum
Lineage: Bacteria; Pseudomonadati; Bacteroidota; Bacteroidia; Bacteroidales; Bacteroidaceae
Description: partial 16S ribosomal RNA
Rfam family: Bacterial small subunit ribosomal RNA
Source: RNAcentral